AUUGAACGCUGGCGGCAUGCCUUACACAUGCAAGUCGAACGGCAGCACGGGAGCUUGCUCCUGGUGGCGAGUGGCGAACGGGUGAGUAAUACAUCGGAACGUACCCUGAAGUGGGGGAUAACGUAGCGAAAGUUACGCUAAUACCGCAUAUUCUGUGAGCAGGAAAGAGGGGGAUCGCAAGACCUCUUGCUUUAGGAGCGGCCGAUGUCGGAUUAGCUAGUUGGUGAGGUAAAGGCUCACCAAGGCGACGAUCCGUAGCGGGUCUGAGAGGAUGAUCCGCCACACUGGGACUGAGACACGGCCCAGACACCUACGGGUGGCUGCAGUCGAGAAUAUUCCCCAAUGGCCGAAAGGCUGAGGGAGCGACGCCGCGUGCAGGAAUAAGGCCU
Molecule: ribosomal RNA, 389 nt
Filed under: uncultured bacterium
Lineage: Bacteria
Description: bacterial SSU rRNA
Rfam family: Bacterial small subunit ribosomal RNA
Source: RNAcentral